AGAUCUGAAGGUGGCCUGGCUGCAACAUCUGUUACCCUAUGGAUCACCAGAGUUGAUUUGGCUGAUCUGGCAGGCUAGGUGGGCGUCCCCUUGAUCCCUCUCUGCUCCAAGUGUGUCUAGAAGCUACAUGCUAGGUUGAUGGGGACACCAUCAAGGGGAUGUGAGUUGCUGCUCUCCCAUGCCACAGUCUCCACAUGCCCUCAGAUAUGACAGCUAAAAGUUAUUAACUGAAGUAAGCAAGAUUCUAGCUUGAGAUCCUUUUUGUACUGGUCUUU
Non-coding RNA from Cavia porcellus (domestic guinea pig), 275 nucleotides. It matches the Rfam family "7SK RNA". Rfam says of the family: 7SK was discovered as an abundant small nuclear RNA in the mid-70s but a possible function has only recently been suggested. The record is from Rfam. NCBI's taxonomy places the organism in Eukaryota, Metazoa, Chordata, Mammalia, Rodentia, Caviidae.